RNAcentral lists this unclassified non-coding RNA (672 nucleotides) under uncultured Prochlorococcus sp. Its description in RNAcentral is "partial may contain 16S ribosomal RNA, 16S-23S ribosomal RNA intergenic spacer, and 23S ribosomal RNA". The stretch from base 1 to 96 matches the Rfam family "Bacterial small subunit ribosomal RNA", at positions 1438 to 1533 of the family's 1533-position model. Lineage: Bacteria; Bacillati; Cyanobacteriota; Cyanophyceae; Synechococcales; Prochlorococcaceae. The record is from RNAcentral.
CCCUUGUGGAGGAGGACGCCGAAGGUGGGGCUAAUGACUGGGGUGAAGUCGUAACAAGGUAGCCGUACCGGAAGGUGCGGCUGGAUCACCUCCUAACAGGGAGACAACAAAAUGUUAAAUAUUAAUUUUGUCACCUUAGGUCGAUCGGUAUCUCACAUUCUUAAUUUUUUAAGAAUUUUAUUUCCUAAGUUUUUCUAGGUCACACCCAUUAUUUUCCUGGGCCAUUAGCUCAGGUGGUUAGAGCGCACCCCUGAUAAGGGUGAGGUCCCUGGUUCAAGUCCAGGAUGGCCCAUAUCUCUAUGUUGGGGGUAUAGCUCAGUUGGUAGAGCGCCUGCUUUGCAAGCAGGAUGUCAGCGGUUCGAGUCCGCUUACCUCCACUGAUUACCACCUCUCCCAUAAUUUAUAGAAGGGAAAUUUUUGUGUUGUGAUCAAAUUCUGAACGAAUCUAGCUUCCUAAUCAAACUUAUUAAGAUGCUGGACUCAUUGAAUUAAUUUCAUUGUUUUCAGAGAACCUUGACAACUGCAUAGAUUAUUUUUAAAGACAAUAAGCAUCUUUAAUGAUGCAGAUUUAUUAUUUGUGCGAAUGCAUUAAUAACAAUUCUAUUAAGCUGAUGCUUCAAUUUAAUGAAGUUAUUGGUCAAGCUACAAAGGGCUCACGGAGGAUACCUAGGC